CCCAGGGCUGCGCCCUGGGCUAAUAUAAACCGCACUUUCAGGGCG
Molecule: small RNA, 45 nt
Filed under: Candidatus Moduliflexus flocculans
Lineage: Bacteria; Candidatus Moduliflexota; Candidatus Moduliflexia; Candidatus Moduliflexales; Candidatus Moduliflexaceae
Description: Acido-Lenti-1 RNA
Rfam family: Acido-Lenti-1 RNA
Source: Rfam by way of RNAcentral